CCUACGGGAGGCUGCAGUGGGGAAUAUUGGACAAUGGGCGAAAGCCUGAUCCAGCCAUGCCGCGUGUGUGAAGAAGGCCUUCGGGUUGUAAAGCACUUUCAGUGGGGAAGAAAGCCUUGGGGCUAAUACCCUCGAGGAAGGACAUCACCCACAGAAGAAGCACCGGCUAACUCCGUGCCAGCAGCCGCGGUAAUACGGAGGGUGCGAGCGUUAAUCGGAAUUACUGGGCGUAAAGCGCGCGUAGGCGGUCUGAUAAGCCGGUUGUGAAAGCCCCGGGCUCAACCUGGGAACGGCAUCCGGAACUGUCAGGCUAGAGUGCAGGAGAGGAAGGUAGAAGUCCCGGUGUAGCGGUGAAAUGCGUAGAGAUCGGGAGGAAUACCAGUGGCGAAGGCGGCCUUCUGGACUGACACUGACGCUGAGGUGCGAAAGCGUGGGUAGCAAACAGGAUUAAUCCCCUAGUAGUC
This 464-nucleotide ribosomal RNA is filed under the name Vreelandella stevensii. RNAcentral's name for it is "partial 16S ribosomal RNA". It matches the Rfam family "Bacterial small subunit ribosomal RNA", at positions 338 to 795 of the family's 1533-position model. Lineage: Bacteria; Pseudomonadati; Pseudomonadota; Gammaproteobacteria; Oceanospirillales; Halomonadaceae. The record is from RNAcentral.